Molecule: transfer RNA, 73 nt
Filed under: Ailuropoda melanoleuca (giant panda)
Lineage: Eukaryota; Metazoa; Chordata; Mammalia; Carnivora; Ursidae
Rfam family: tRNA
About the family: Transfer RNA (tRNA) molecules are approximately 80 nucleotides in length. Their secondary structure includes four short double-helical elements and three loops (D, anti-codon, and T loops).
Source: Rfam by way of RNAcentral
ACCUGGCUGGCUCAGUCAGAAAAGCAUGAGACUCUUGAUCUUGGGGUUGUGAGUUCGAGCCCCACACUGGGUG